RNAcentral lists this long non-coding RNA (635 nucleotides) under Olea europaea subsp. europaea. The record is from RNAcentral. Lineage: Eukaryota; Viridiplantae; Streptophyta; Magnoliopsida; Lamiales; Oleaceae.
GUGACAUAGGUUGACGGAGCUUGCAUCAGGCCAGUAGGAGCUCGAAACACGCGCUCCAAGUAGGAGUGCUCGAGUCGUCUCAAGAAUGUAGCGAUUAUUUCGCUCAGCAAUACCAUUCUGCUGAGGUGUCUGAGGAUAGAUGUUUCAUGAAUCAGUCCGUGAUGAUGAAAAUACUCACGGAACUACUGAUUUACAUACUCACCACCAUUAUCGAACCUAAGAAUCUGAAGCUUAGCUGAGAAUUGAGUUCGAAUCAUAUCAUGAAAAGAUCGAAACACAGUAAAGACUUCAUCCUUAUUUUUUAAUAAAUAUAGCCAAGUCAUUCGGGUGCAGUCAUCAACAAAAAACACAAACCAGCGAAAACCAAACAAAGUAGCCUUCGGGAAAGGCCGCCACACAUCAGAGUGAACUAAAGCAAAUGGAACUUCACUUUUAUUGAUACGUAAUGGAUAAGGUACUCGAUGACUCUUGGCUAAAAUGCAAGUCUCACAUUUAAAAUCUGAAACACAUAGUUCUGAAAAUAAAGUAGGAAACAAAUGCUGCAAAUAACCAAAUGAAAGAUGACCUAACCGAUGGUGCCAUAACCAAAUUUGUUCCACCUUGGUACCACUAGGUUGACCGACAUGAUGUACUCG